This 1084-nucleotide long non-coding RNA is filed under the name Homo sapiens (human). RNAcentral's name for it is "non-protein coding lnc-NKD2-3:4". Lineage: Eukaryota; Metazoa; Chordata; Mammalia; Primates; Hominidae. The record is from RNAcentral.
GAAUGGGUGAGUUUGUGAACGAGUGGGCAAGUUAGUGUGUGAGUGGGCGAGUUAGUGUGUGAAGCAGUGGGCAAGUUUGUGAAUGAGUGGGUGAGUUACUGUGUGAAUGAGUGGGCAUGUGAAUGAGUCGAUGAGUUAGUGUGUGAAUGGGUGUGUGAACGAGUGGCUGAGUUAGUGUGUGAAUGGGUUAGUGUGUGAAUGAGGGAUUUUGUGAAUGGGUGUGUGAACGAGUGGGUGAGUUAGUGUGUGAAUGAGUGGGUGUGUGAAUGAGUGGGUGAGUUGGUGUGUGAAAGAGUGGGUUAGUGCAUGAAUGGGUGGGUUAGUGUGUGAAUGGGUUGUGAACGAGUGGGUGAGUUAGUGUGUGAAUGAGUGGGUGACUGUGUGAAUGAAUGGGUUAGUGUGUGAAUGAGUGGGUGAGUUAGUGUGUGAACGAGUGGGCGAGUUUGUGAAUGAGUGGGGGAGUUAGUGUGUGAAUGAGUGGGUGAGUUAGUGUGUGAAUGGGUGUGUGAAUGAGUGGGCUAGUGUGUGAAUGAGUGGGUGUGUGAACGAGUGGGUGAGUUAGUGUGUGAAUGAAUGGGUUAGUGUGUGAAUGGGUUAGUGUGAGUGAGUCAGUGGGUUAGUGUAUGAAUGAAUGAGUGGGUGGGUUAGUGUGUGAGUGGGUUAGUGUGAAAGAGUGGGCGAGUUAGUGUGUCAAUGAGUGGGCGAGUUUGAAUGUGUGUGAACAAGUGGGUGAGUUAGUGUGUGAAUGAGUGGGUUAGUGUGUGAAUGAGUGGGUGUGUGAACGAGUGGGUGAGUUACUGUGAAUGAAUGGGUGGGUUAGUGUGUAAAUGAAUGGGUGAGUUAGUGUGUGAGUGGGUUAGUGUGUGAAUGAGUCAGUGGGUUAGUGUGUGAAUGGGGGUUAGUGUGUGAAUGGAUGAGUUAGUGUGUGAAUGAGUGGGUUAGUGUGUGAAUGAGUCGGGUUAGUGUGUGAAUGACUGGGUGGGUUAGUGUAUGAAUGAGUGUGUGAAUGGGUGAGUUAGUGUGUGAACGAGUGGGCGAGUUAGUGUGUGAAUGGGUGAGUUAGUGUGUGAAUGAGUGGCUGAAC